UCCUCCUUGCCAAGCACAUUUGAAUUUGGAAGCUAAGCAAGACCGACCUGGUUAGUGCUGGGAUGGGGGACCACCAGGAAAUCUCAGAC
This 89-nucleotide ribosomal RNA is filed under the name Salvator merianae (Argentine black and white tegu). Lineage: Eukaryota; Metazoa; Chordata; Lepidosauria; Squamata; Teiidae. The record is from RNAcentral.